Non-coding RNA from Macaca mulatta (Rhesus monkey), 6576 nucleotides. Lineage: Eukaryota; Metazoa; Chordata; Mammalia; Primates; Cercopithecidae. The record is from RefSeq and is a predicted model, not a curated record.
CGCGGGCCCGGCUGCGGCCCCCACUCUGGCAGGGGGACAGCCCUUGGAAGCAGCAGGUAGUACAUGACCCUCACACCCUCUUCUGCUUCCAAAGGCCCCAUGCAGUUAGCUUGCCAGGCUGUCACAUGGCCUGAAGCCAGGGAGCACUGUUUCUACCAUAGUUUGUGCAAAUGGCGCCCCCAGAGUUGGCUGUGCAUAGCCUCAGCAGCCAUAUCGGAUGUCCUGUUAGGUGCUGUGGUCUCCUGGCCAGCGGUCUAAGCCACCCUGUGGCUCUGGAUUUGAUAAAGAUAUUCUUGUGGCCAUGGGGCUUUGCGGCUGCUAUCUCAGCCUCUGCGCUGCUUGCAGUAGCCACCUUUGGGGAUUUCCACAUCCCGGGGAGACUUCAGGACAAGGAUCAGAACACUUUACAAACUGAGAGGCUCUCUUCCCUUAAGGGAGCCUGAGACUCCAGCAUGUCUCUGAGGCCGUUGGCUGGGAGGGAGCAUCCUACCAGCGGGAGUGUUUGGCCGUGUUGCCCUGAGAGGUGGGAGGCAGAUGAGCCACCCCAGUGUCCACGCUGUGCGGGGGUGUGGCGGCACACCACGAGCACACAUCCUUCAUCUAUAGCCUGGGCCAGAAGCCUGGGGUUGCCCUGCUGCCCCCACCCCUUGCCAUGGAUCAUUCUUGAGAGACCCUGGAGCCAGCCACCUGGCCGUGUCGGUUUCAGUUAGGAGGGGAGACUGCUCGCUCAGGCGGUUCUGUCUGUUAUGAACGUAUGUUAGUGCAGCUGCCUCACCAGUCCUCUGUCAUCUUCCUGUGAGGGUCUGAAUUGAAACUCACAAGUUACCAAGGUCUGAGGAGCUUGUGAAAAGCUGUGCCGCGUUCUCUGGGCCUGCAUGCUGGGCUUUAGUUCUGAACUGUUGUUUCAUUUCUAGCAGUAGACAUCGCUGAUGUCAUGAACUGCAGGAAAGAAGAGCCUUUUAUUAUAAAGCUCAGGGCCCUUUGUGUCUGUACCCGUGGAGGCUUAGCACCCAUAACCAGGUGGUGGUGUGUGAUAUAGAAGAGUGUGAUAUGGAAAGAGACAGGGAGUCUGAGGACACAGUUCUGGUCCCGGCAACAUCAGCUGCUUGCUCUUUAACCUCAGGAAAGGCCCCUAAGCUCUCAGCACCUCAGUGUCCUUUCUGCAAAAUGAAGGCAUUUGACUAGACAGGCUGUGUCUGUCCAAGACUAAUAGGAUGUGGUUUUGUAACUAAUAAGUAAAAUGUUCCCCAAAGCAUCCCAAAGCCUUCAUUAUCUUGCCAUUUCUCAUAGUAAUGUUGCAAAAUGUAGAAGGGGCUGGGCACUAACUGCUGGUUUCCAGCAGAAGAAUGCUGACGCACUGGGAAUUAGGCCCCGUGGAAAGAGUGUCUACUUAUGAGUUACAUGUGCACUCGAACUAAGCCCUGGUCCUGACUCCUGGGGAAGCUCGGACUUGUCAUGUAACCUUUAGGCGCCUUGGUGUGUUUCGGUGGAUUGGCCUCCUACCCCAGUGGGAUGUUGAGAAAGAAUGAACUGAUUUACAUAAUAAUCCUAGCAGAGUUCCUGGCACCUAGUAGGUGCUCAUGAAAUAGGAAACUGAAGACAGUCAUUUUCAGUUUUAAAAAGAAAUCAAACCCUACCAUAAUUACAGCUACUUAAUUUUUUCCAGCUUCUCUUUGUGAGUUUUCUGUAGCCCCAUACAGAUUUACACAUAAUUUUACAUAUUAUCCAAAUGUUAGUCUGUUUGAUUAAAAAUAUGACGUGGCUUUUCAUUUCUGUCUCACUAUUAGAAGAGGAAUUUGUAAAGAGCUUGUCAGGUCUCUGUGCUUUUGCUGACAGCAUCCAGAAGAGGUACAAUCCCCGCCACAUCCCAGCCUUUUUAUUAAAAAGAGGCUACAUGUUUCCACCUCAGGGCCUAUGAAUCAUUCAGGAAAGUAUUUCUCGUUCAUCCCCAAGGGGAACACAUGAGACAAAAGAUCAAAUAGGAAAAUCGCACCAGGAGAGUUUUCUGUUUCACCUUUGGAGCUUUUCAAGACACCUGAGAUGCCUGACACAUGCCAGGCGCUUUCCUUUCUGAAAGGAGUGAGCAGUUGACCUGGCACGAGGGAGCUGGUGAGCGAGACCAGGGCCGUGGUGAGCCCCGCCUGCGGGGUCCAUCAGCAAUGGCUGCGCCUUACGAGGCUCAGAGACAUGAGCUGCUUUGGAGGUCUUGCCAGUAGAGAGGGGUCAUCAUAAUAAACUCUUAAAAGCUCUCUCAGUGGAUCCUGAGACAGUGAAAAGCCAUCCCGAUUGGAGGCAGGUUGAGAAGAGCGGGACUACAGAUUUGUCUUGCAGUCAGAAACUUUGCCCAGUGACUGCUCAGUGUGGCUCCCGAAGGUAGUUCGAACACGCCUUCUUGGUGAUUUUCUAAAUGAUGCACCCAGCCUGUGUUCUCCCCAGCCUGCCCCCAAGAGCCCAGCCCACAGCCAGGGGGAGCCCCAUGCAGCCAAGGGCGCGUCCCCCUCCCACUGGUGCCGCAGGACCCUCUUGUGCCUGUGGAGGGGCAGCCCCUGGACCCCAUAGGCUCUUCAGCCCUGAGAUGUCACACUCCCUCUCUGUCCUCUUCCCUACAAGCUGCACAGGAAAGCUGUGUUUCUGUGGCCUUGGAUAGAGGAAGGGAGGAAGGGGCCUUCGUGUAUACUCUAGAGGCCCAGGAGGAGGUCCCAGAGCCAGGCUGGCCUGGGUUAGAAUCACAGCUCUGGCUCUUAUUCGCUGUGGGGCCUUGGACAGGUUAUUCACCCUCUCGGUGCCUCAUUUUCCUCAGCUAUAUAAAUGGGGAUAAUAUUCGCACCAAUACAUCAUAGAGACAGAUUAAAACCCAAGAACUGACAUCUCUUGCUAAGUCACAAAAGGCUCUGUCUCUGCCCUCACGGAAGGUGGAUUGGUUUGCAAGUCCCUGAGUUAAGAGGAAGGUGCCAGCGGGGAGAGGAGAGGCUGUCUUACCAGGUCAAGCCCCAGGGAGGAGGCAGGGCCCCUGACCUGUGUGGCAGAGGGCAGCGGAAACAGAGCUGAGCGUUGACAGUUGCCUGGCACGCAGGGAGAGUGGCAAGGGGGGCGGCCAGGGAGGCCAGGGUCAGAAGGUCAAGACUAGAAGGAGUUUAAAGAACAGAGCCCUAGGGAGCAUCAAAGAGCCAAACACGGAGGCUCCAAGGGAAGGAGCCAAGCGUGAGGCAGGUCGUGGGUCAUGGGAGAGGAUGGAAAGUGUGCUUGCAGCAGCCCUGAUGCUCAGAGAGGAAGGCAAGGAGCUGGCGGACAAGUAGUCAGUGAGGGCUGUUAAGAAGGAAGCCUCGUCUGUGUCACAGGUGGUGGUCAGGUGGCUGCUGUGACGGCAGAGGACAGUUAUGCCAGGAGUUGUAAGUGGCAGCAGAUGCCAGAUCACUAGCUGGCAGGAGGGCUCCGGCUUAAGCAGAAAUGCAAGCCUGUUAGUAUUGUUAAAAAGCAAGAGUGACUUUAGUAUUCAUGAACGGUAAAUCGGAGGACAGACUUGACAAGAGAAAUGUAAAUUCAACCCCAGAGGAAUCGUACGAUCUUCUAAUAACUUAGCCUUCAUGUUUGUGUUUAAAUUCAUGUGUAGUGAGAAGGGAGCAGAGAAAUCAUGUGUUUAUCAGCAAUAAUGAGUUAGCACAGGACAAGGGAGGCAGAGAUUGCUGAGGAUGGGCAGGUAUUAAGGAAGCAGCAUGCUAGAGGGAUAAGGAGUUACCAAGUAAUGUUGUUGACAAGGGGAGGAAUUCAUAGACUGACCAGACUUUUUCCAGAAAAUCUAAAGGCAUAUUUUUAUAUUAUUUUUGCAUAGUGUAUAAAUUUACAUUUAUUCGUGUGCUAUGUUAAAAAGCCUUUAGCUCCCAGUAUGCAAAAUGAAUUAACGAAGCAUAGAGCAACUUUUUCCAAAGCAGUUAUUCCAUGUUCUGGGGUGGGGAGAGGAGAGAAGCGUGGCUCAUGGUGGACUGAGGAGCAGAGAACCAGCAUCCCUGGACGGUCAUUCCCAGGCCAAGGACAAAAUCACCAGGACAGGGACAGGCUGUGCAAACAGGGACAUCUGGUUGCCCUCUGAUAAUGUCAGCCUAAGCUUUCAAGGGCAAGUGUGAGAUUGGAAAGUAAGAAGGGAACAAGGGCUUUUAGGAGAGAAAAGAACAUGGAAGGGAGCCAAGGAGGUUGUGUGGAGGGGAGCUGAUAAGACCGGGAUGGGAAGUGUUGCUGGGGAACAAAUGCGUGCUGGAGAAUAUUAGCAGGAGGCUCGGGUCCGCCUCCAGUCCCUUUGACAGGUUGAGAAAAGGUGUGAAGCAGAAGCAGAUGGCGGGGGUCAGCCAGGGCUUGGUGGAGUGGACAGCAAGUGGAGUGAAGUGGGGUGAGGCAGCUUUGGAGAGGCCUAUGAGCCAGAGAGGAACCGUGAGCCAGAGAGGGACCGUGAGCCGGAGAGGGACCGUGAGCCGGAGAGGGACCGUGAGCCGGAGAGGGACCGUGAGCCGGAGAGGGACCGUGAGCCGGAGAGGGACCGUGAGCAGGAGAGGAACCGUGAGCCGGAGAGGGACCGUGAGCAGGAGAGGGACCGUGAGCCGGAGAGGGACCGUGAGCAGGAGAGGGACCGUGAGCCGGAGAGGGACCGUGAGCAGGAGAGGGACCGUGAGCCGGAGAGGGACCGUGAGCCGGAGAGGGACCGUGAGCAGGAGAGGGACCGUGAGCCGGAGAGGGACCGUGAGCCGGAGAGGGACCGUGAGCAGGAGAGGGACCGUGAGUCAGAGAGGGAUCGUGAGCCAGAGAGGGACCGUGAGCCGGAGAGGGACCGUGAGCCGGAGAGGGACCGUGAGCCAGAGAGGGAGUGUGCACUGAGAACCAUGGAAAGGGCAUCAGGGGACAGCAGUGAGAUGGAGCCCCCACCCCGCAGGGGGAAGGGGGAGAACUGCUGCAUCCACCUGCAGACUGAGCGUUCCCCAGGCCUAGGACAGAGGCCAUGAUAUUUCACAGCCGAUGCUGAGAAGUGAUGAAAUCUAGAUUAAAAGCAGGAAGGGGCCAUCCCCUUAAAUGAAGUUUCCAAGACAAGGCUGAGGGCCUGGAAAGGUACAGAAAGCCAUCAGCCCUCUGUGAGAAGAUAGCAGAGGCGCUGUGUUUCACGCACCCCCCCCCCCCCCCCUGCCCCCUCCCCAAGGAAAUAGUGAUAAAAGACCACUGUGAAGCCCACCAAGCAGAAGGUGAAAGUGAUGGGGAGGAGAGACGGGCAGUGGCUAGGGGCUGGGCCGAGGCAGUUGGCCCAAAGAGUGUGCUGGGGGCCAUGUGCCUCAUCUGGAGGGGUCCUAGGGGUGGUGGGUUGGAGUGGAGUGGAAUGUGGGAAGCAUUUGGCAGGGAGCUUGGAUCAGGAGUGCUGCUUGGCGGAAAAACACAUUUUUCAGGUUACCAUAAGGGGUCAAUCUAAUAAUAGAACAGGCUUUUUGUUCCGGGCAUGGUGGGCCCAAAAGUGCUCAUUUGUCUUCUGUGGACGGAUUGUGAGACAAGAAAACCUCUCAGUUCAAUCAAGAUGGUUGCGGGCUAAAGGUUUCAUAUACAGGCUGCCUUUGAGGAGUUCCUCUAUGAUCUUCUGUUUUCUGAAACAUCAGAAAUCUGGAAUAACAUCAAAUAUAAAAACUUGAGGAGUGGUGCUGCCGUUCUAUUUCAAGGGACUACAUUAGUAGCAGAAGACUUGCAGAGAUUGGCUGAGCUGUUUGAAAACUGCAUUUUCUUAUGAAAUACCCGAAGGCACAGCAGAUUGAUGCUCCAAAGGCUGACUAAUGGCACUGCUGACUAACGACACCACUCUGAGAAGGCGGCUCUUCUGAAGUUCAAAGAGGGACCUGAAGUCGGAACUUUCUUUAAACUGUCUUCCGGCUUACAUGCUUGUUUACUGUGUGGAAACAUCUCUUCCAUUGCGCGUGAUGAGCUGGAAGACAUGGCAGAGAGGGAAAGAGGUGAGCUUCGGCUUGCCUGGCACUGCUGAAUUAUAAAACACUGGUGUUUUUCUCUCUCUCCCAUAUUUUAAAUUGUCCAUCUGUUCAUUGAGAUUUGGGGAAAAUUGCUGUCUCCUAUUUUCUUAUCUUAGUUAGCACCAUGUUUUCCAGUUUGUGCCCCUGCGGGAGGAGAGAUUCAGCAUGAAGGUGAUGAACUUCCCAGGGCUCCUCCGGAGACUGGCGCUCAGUGCCUGUGUGUCUGUGCAGUUUAUCCAUCAGCCUAGUGAGGGCCACCCAGGAUCCAGACAGGCCGGACAGGCUCACGCGUCAGCACAUCUGCAGUUUUCCCUUGGAGAAACGUCUUCAAGAGACAUCUUUUGAUCCCUUCUGUUCCUCUGGAUAAGGCCCAGGCACAAUUAAACUGAUGAAAUAGACUUGAAAUACCCUUCCCCUUUCAAAUGGCCAUCUUUAGAGGUGGAUCUCUUUCAUCCGAAGUAUCAGUUUUCUUUCCAUACCUAGAAAGAAUCACUGGCAGGAAACAAAACUUCAUGAGUCUAGUGAGAAGGCCCUUUCAUCUGUUCAUUGUAUCUUGUUUUCUUUCAUAAUUAAAAAAAUGCUUUCCAAA